Triticum dicoccoides is the source of this 2164-nucleotide long non-coding RNA. RefSeq lists it as uncharacterized. The record is from RefSeq and is a predicted model, not a curated record. The transcript has 2 exons. NCBI's taxonomy places the organism in Eukaryota, Viridiplantae, Streptophyta, Magnoliopsida, Poales, Poaceae.
UCCGGCGCCGCCCCGUCCCGCCCCACCUCCUCCCCGGCUCGUGGCGCCACCCCGCCCCACCCCAGCUCCUCUCCGGAUCCUAGGGCCGCGCCGCCCCCAACCUCCAACCUCCCGGAUCCUGGUGCCGCCCUGCCCCUACCUCCUCCCUGUAUCCCGGCGCCGCACGCCCCCAUCUCCCUGGAUCCCCGCGACGCCUAGUCCCCAACCUCUCCGGCUCCUGGCGCCGCCAACCGCCAUCCUCUGCCAGCUCCGGUAGCCGCGUCCACCUGUUUCCUCCUGCGUGUCGGACGGUGCGAAUCUGGCCGACGUGGCGGGGCUGUGAGACUCGCCGGGGUGGAGCUCCUCCGCCUGUACCGUCGAUCCAUAGUUCAUUGUCAGUACAGGUUCUGAAAUUUCCUAGUACAUGUUGGGGGACAUUUCUGGAAUCACGGACCUGAUUGGCGCUGCAUAGAGUUACUGAUAUCUUGGUUGUGAAUCAAGGUCACAUUCUCAUAUGGCUUAUCACAGACCCUUUAUAAAUGACAAGCAUCGUCAAGUCACAUCAUCCAAUGGUCUAUGCUUAAGUUCGGCACGAAGAGUACACCAGACCCUUUAUUUACUCUUGUUCUGUUAUUCAUGUUGGUCGUUUGCUAAAUGUUUCAGCGCACAAUCCAGCUUGUAGCUGUAAGCACUCUGUUAAACAGGUUUAUCAUGUGUAAUCCCAGGCUGUAUUUGGGAAAAAUAUUUGUACUGUUGCUUCUCUUGGAAUGAAAGUGUUGUCUUGCUCUCAAAAAAAGAGUACCCAUCCAAUCUGUUCUUUCUCCCAAUUCUCCUCAUUUUAGGAUGGCACAUGAACACAAUGAUGUUCUGCAGUACCAAUUUAUUUCUGAGAUAGUACAUAUGCUAUUCUAAGAAUGACUUUUAUUGUCAUCAUUUGACUUCCAAUACAAAUAUCAAUAUAACUGGUGAUUUUGACUCUUGCAUGGACAUUCUACUCAUACUUAUGCAUGGAUAAUAUGAUAAAUUGUGGUUAGCUGCUUUUGCAUGGUCAAGCUCGCUGAUAAGGCACUAUAUACUUUUUUCCUUAGAUUAAGUGCUACUGAAAUAAGUUUGUGGGUUGCAGUACUUGUGGAUAUAGCUGUAAAUGUGUUGCUGGCUGCAGUAUAGUAUAUUGAUCUGUUCUGUUUGCCAAUGUCAUGUUGUCAUGUUCCAUUCCAUCUCACCAUUUUCCUUGACCAGCACAAUUGCGACAUUGCAAAUUGGUUAUUCAGUCAUAUGUAAUGGCUCCAAACACAUGCCUUUUUAGACUAUUCAGCUACUAUUUAUGUGUUUUUUCCUGUUUGGUUAUUUGAUUGUUAACUGACAGACACUCUUUUUAUCCUAAAAACAUAAAUACUGUUGCUAUGGUGAGUUUAGUGCCCAUAUAGAGUAGUAAUACUGUUGUUUGCAAAUCAUGGGUUAUUACUUACUAUUAGUUACUGCAGAAUAUUGGGGACUACUUGGUUCAGUUUACAUUUUAUGCUCACUGCCCAAUAUUGGGGAUUUGUUCUUGGGAUACAUGUGAAACUGAACCUUAGAUUUUAAUCCCACGUGCUCUAUAUUUCCCUUUCAAAAGUAUGCUGUAGAUUAUAGCUACAUAUGGCAUCUAGCUUUAACAACAUAACUUAAUGCUGGUAAAAAGGAAUUACGCUACAUCUAUGUUGUGCUUUGCUCUUUUUUUCAGAAUAUUCAGAUCACAUUUUCAAUGGGUUGUUUGAAACGCUACAAUAUAGAUAUAUACUCCCAGCGCACUGCCACUGGCGUUGACACCACAGGGUCCUGAGGCCUCGGCAUUCAUGCCAAGGUGGUCCAAUAGAGCCAACAGAUUAAUCUGGGAAGGCCAGCAGGACGGAGGGAAAGGUUGACAUCGUGGGCGUCGACAUUUGUGAGGUGACCAGCACGGAUGAGGAGAGUGCAAAAACUGCACCUCAUGACGGUACUCCGGAUCCUGGUGCUUCUCUCCCUCUGCUGCCUAUGUUCUCAAGAUACGAGAGAGUGGGAUAUUCGCAUGAUUGUGGCUGGUUGGAGUGUAUGGUCUUGUGGAGAUCAUGGAUGUUAUUUGCUUAUGACACGAUGUAUAUAUAUACUACUAGAAGUUCCAGUACCUAUAUUACUACAAUUCUCUAAUAAAAAAUGUAUCAGUUCA